AGAAACAGAUACAAGACAUUUUACUUGACCGCUGGAGCCACAUGUACAGAUGUUUAAGAUCUGCACUGCCCAAGUGUGGAAUAUCUGAAGAACACUAUAUAAGCAAUACAGGUGGACUUAUGAGAUCAUGUACACGGCCAUAGAGAAUCCAGGCCCUCCAGAGGACAUCUGAGGCUAUGUACACAUCCAACGGAAUCCACAAUGUAGUACCAUUACUCUAAAACACAAAGUCUCUGCUCAUUAGUCACAGAUCCAAAGAUCCCCUGAGGCCCCUGAGUGAAGUUGGGCAUGGAUGCCAGGUGGAUGGUGGUUUGGUCACAGCCCGAGGGAGGAGGCUGAGUAUUUCACCAUGUCUCUAACACCAGGGCUACAUCCCUGCUGCUGAAGUCAGCCUUUAUCCAGUAGCUGAUGGAAGCAGAAGCAGACACCCACAGCUAAGCACUGAGCCAAACUCCUGGAAUUAGUUGCAGAGAGAGAGGAGUGAUGAGCAAAAGGGUCAAGACCAGGCUGGAGAAACCCACAGAAACAGCUGACCUGACCAAGUGAGAGCACACAGACCCCAGUGUGACAGCUGGGGAACCAUCACUGGACUGAACCAAGUCUCCUGAAUGUGGGUGUCAGUUAGGAGGCCUGGGCAAUCUAUGGCACUUCUGACAGUGGAACCAGUAUUUAUCCCUAGU
RNAcentral lists this long non-coding RNA (680 nucleotides) under Cricetulus griseus (Chinese hamster). RNAcentral describes it as "lncRNA (ENSCGRG00015035988.1)". The record is from RNAcentral. Lineage: Eukaryota; Metazoa; Chordata; Mammalia; Rodentia; Cricetidae.